RNAcentral lists this long non-coding RNA (607 nucleotides) under Felis catus (domestic cat). Its description in RNAcentral is "lncRNA (ENSFCAG00000048965.1)". Lineage: Eukaryota; Metazoa; Chordata; Mammalia; Carnivora; Felidae. The record is from RNAcentral.
ACGGGGAGGACCGUGUAGGUGAAGGCUUUCCACAAGCCAUGGAGCACAAUGCAUGGAAUAAUCUGGAGACUCGCCCCAGAGAAGGUCCUGGCUCUCCUGUCUCAGCCUCCCUCUGGCAUCCCCAGGACUCAGUCCACCCUGAUAACUGGGAGAAGUACGCAGGCCUCAGGAGCUGAGGAAGGCCAAACCCGAUCCCUGGCUUCCUGAAGGUUAACCAGUCGGAGCUCCUCCUGUGUGUUGGCCUGGAAGAUUCCAUGGCCUGGGCCAGGUGUGGCAGGGCUUGUGGACGCUGGGAUGGCCCUUGAUGCUAUGGGUCAAGGACGAUGAGUCAGGCCAGCGCAGCCUUUCUGCCAAGCUGGAAUAUAGGAGGCCUGGGCACAUGAAGUCAGGUCCAGCUGAGCGAGCCAACUUGGGAGCCUGGCGCUUCCGAGUCCAUAAAGGUGUUUUAUGUGGAAAAGAAUGGCUGGUCCUCCAUCAUAAAGCUGGCUUUGGAGCGUGCAGCUACCGAGGUCGAGGAGCCCUGUGCCAACCCUGCACCGUGCAAAGUGCUACAAAGCCGGCUUUUGCCUCCAAGACGAGAGCAGAUUGGUGCCCGGGCAGCCCCUGA